Molecule: small nucleolar RNA, 86 nt
Organism: Arabidopsis lyrata subsp. lyrata
Lineage: Eukaryota; Viridiplantae; Streptophyta; Magnoliopsida; Brassicales; Brassicaceae
Rfam family: Small nucleolar RNA R21
About the family: snoR21 is a member of the C/D class of snoRNA which contain the C (UGAUGA) and D (CUGA) box motifs. Most of the members of the box C/D family function in directing site-specific 2'-O-methylation of substrate RNAs.
Source: Rfam
CAUCCCAAUGAUGAAUGAUAUGAAGAAAAAAAAUGUUAAAAGUAGUGACUGAUUAUACCUUGAUUACUAAUCAAUUCUGAGGGAUU